AGCUAGUUGGUAGGGUAAUGGCCUACCAAGGCUCCGAUGGGUAGCCGAGCUGAGAGGUUGAUCGGCCACACUGGGACUGAGAUACGGCCCAGACACCUACGGGUGGCAGCAGUAGGGAAUAUUGCGCAAUGGACGAAAGUCUGACGCAGCCAUGCCGCGUGAGUGAUGAAGGCCUUCGGGUCGUAAAGCUCUUUUCUGAGGGAAGAACCGCUUGCGGAGGAAAUGCCGCAGGCCUGACGGUACCUCAGGAAUAAGGGACGGCUAACUCCGUGCCAGCAGCCGCGGUAAUACGGAGGUCCCUAGCGUUGUUCGGAAUUACUGGGCGUAAAGGGAGCGCAGGCGGACCGGUCAGUCUGGAGUGGAAUCCCGGGGCUCAACCUCGGAAGGCCUCCGGAUACUGCCGGUCUUGAGUUCGUGAGAGGAAAGCGGAAUUCAGGGUGUAGCGGUGAAAUGCUUAGAUAUCCUGAGGAACACCAAUGGCGAAAGCAGCUUUCUGGCGCGAAACUGACGCUGAGGCUCGAAAGCGUGGGUAGCGAACGGGAUUAGAUACCCCGGUAGUCCACGCCGUAAACGUUGUCAACUAGGUGCGGGAGGUAUCGACCCCUUCCGUGCCGCAGCUAACGCACUAAGUUGACCGCCUGGGGAGUACGCGCGCAAGCGUGAAACUCAAAGGAAUUGACGGGGGCCCGCACAAGCGGUGGAGCAUGUGGUUUAAUUCGAGGCAACGCGAAGAACCUUACCCAGGCUUGACAUCCCAGGACAGCCCGUGAAAGCGGGUCUUCCCUUUCGGGGACCUGGAGACAG
RNAcentral lists this ribosomal RNA (804 nucleotides) under uncultured bacterium. Its description in RNAcentral is "bacterial SSU rRNA". It matches the Rfam family "Bacterial small subunit ribosomal RNA", at positions 243 to 1037 of the family's 1533-position model. The record is from RNAcentral.